CGGGGCGCCGUCCCCAACCGCCGACGCCUGCCAGACCACCAAGUGGGGGCCAUGUCGACGUGUGAGGAGCCUGGUGGAAGGUGAUACUGGAAUUCCGGCACUGGGCCUGCAACCCUUUUAGUCCACAGUUGUCAGAAUCUAAAGGGAAGAAAAACGAAGUGCUCAGAACCCUCACAGAAGCCGGGCACCUCAUCCCGUGUGUGGGUUUUUUCCCCAGUACAAACCCAUUGUGGGGACAGGCGCUUUUGAAGAAAAAAUUCAGAUUCCCGGGCUGAAGUGGCUCCUCACAGCCUUGAACCUGACCCCCAGCUUCCCGCUAAAGCCGAGCGUGCCCAGCACGGCGAGGUCAGCAGAGGCCCCUCGGAGGGCGGCCGGGGGAGGUCAGUGGGAGGCCCUCGGGCAGCCGGUGGAUGGGCCGGCGACCUCCCCGACUCCAUCAGAAGCGCUCAGUCUGUGCCCUUCAGUUACUGGAGCAGCUCCCGUCCUUUGGCCAGUUCUCUGGAAGGUCGUUUCCGUUUCUGUGUCUGCCACACGUGCAGCACAAUCGAAAAACCUUGUUCGACAUUUCUAGAAAGAGUAGAUGCUACUGAAGACCCAAUAGAUUGCUGAGGGUUUUCAGAGCAGGGACAAUUGCAUCAGGGUGCUGGGCUCCGGGAAGAACUCAGAGGACUUGGCUGACGGGCGGAUGGGACAGUGAUUGGUGCCGAGAAUGGGCCAGAGAAGCAGGUCUGCCUGGAGCAGGCACCCGAGGCCGCGUGCAGGGGCGGUCCUGGGCCACCAACCCCUGGAAGCUGGGCCAGGAGCUUCGGAGCCAUCCGAGGCUUUUUUCGCUCCUCUCACUCUCAUGCACCUAGUUACCCUCCCCACAGAGUCUUCUCACGGCGCGGUUUUCGGCUACCAUUGCAGUGGUGUCUGACUACACCCAGUGCCUCUAUCGUUCCCCCCUCAGUCUGUUCUCGCUUCUUGGCAAACCUGUCCUUGGAAAGCCCUCUGCUGACUCCUGUUACCCUGAUCAAAUGCAUCCUCCUCAGGAGGCUCGUGAGCCCUUUGCAGGGUGGCCCAAGAGGCAUCACGCCCUGCUCUCCAGCCACUCUUGGGGUCCCCUACAGGGCCAGGCGUCCCACACCAGCAGCGGGUGCUGGUCCUGCCACAGUCUGUGCGACACGUGAAUGAAGGCUGUAGACCUGUGGUCUGCGGGAGGCAAAUUCCAACUCCAGCUGUCAAACAUAAGGGGACUGGUAGGCUCUCCAGGGUGGAUUGUCUCACGGCAUCCAGAGGCAGGGACCGAGGCAGGGACCUAGCCAGGCCUCGGGAAGGAGCUGCAAACCCAGGAGCUCUGGGGUGUGGCUUCAUCUCCCUCCCUCCCUACCACCCUACCCCCAUCUCUCCGUGUUCUUCAGAUGCCUCAUUUUCCUGUCAGGCACCUGGCCAGCUCUAGGAGCUGGAAUCAGGUUGGUGCCUCCUUGGUCAGUGUCCACCCCUAGUGUCAUCCACAGUGACCAACGGAAGGGGUGGCCGGUGGUACAGGACAUUGGCCAUCUUGGGAAAGAUCACAGAGACAGGAAGGGCCUCUCCAGCUGAGCAGAUGAGAGGUUCUUCAGUGGUCUGGACACAUUUGCCCACUCAUGGCCGUCCCCCUGCCCUGUUGAGAGAACCGAUGAGGAAAGGGAGCCCUGCAUCUGUCGCCUUCCGACUCCGACCGCCUGAGGCUGGGCUGCCGGCAAGCCGCGGCAGCAUAUGACAGCACUUGAAAGAAAGUCCCUGGAAAGAAUGUGGAUCAUUGCAGAACUCCCUCAAGAAAGCGCCAGAGGAGGACCCCAUUCAGCACCCCGCAGAACUCCUCAAACUCCUGCGUCCACACUCCCCCAGCGUGGUGGCUGCUUCUAUCUCCCCAGGCUUAGCUGGCCUGGGUCUUGAAGGCCUCUCCUCCUGCUGUCCCCACGCAGCAUCCUCUCUGCCACUGCACAGCUGGAUGCAGUGAAGGCCAGGCGGCUGUGGCUGCUUGGGCAACAGGAGCUGCUUGACCCUGUUCUGCUGGCCUUGUUGGCCUCACUCCCGUAGAGAGCCAAGGUUACCCACGUCUCUGAAGCUAAGGCUUUCUUUCUAGGCCUGGGGGAGUCACAUCUUGCAUUCGUACUCACUGAGCUCCACGUCUAUGGUUAGAGAAUUUAUCAACAUUUUAUAAUGCUUUUAUCAAUUCCAUCAUUUGAGGGCCCUCUGGCAAGGAACCUGUUAGUACAUGGAGUGCCUGGAAUGUUCCAGAAAGCUAACAUGAACAGCUGGCCCUUGCUGUCCUUAUACAUUGAGGACUCCAAAGGCCACUCAGGAUGACAGGAAAUGCAGGCUCCAAAAGAUUCGGUUCCUUUGUGAGGCCCUCGGGCAGUGGUCAGACACGAAGGAAAUAGGAAAUCACCCCCAAACCACACCUCUCCCUAUGAGGCCACAGCUGCCGAUGCAGCCUUGGGAGGGGGAUGGAGGGAGAGAGGAGGGCAUCUGAAUGUGGACACACCCUGCUGUGAGGGCUGUGGGCGGUCCUGAGACUGGAGCCAGCCCCCAGGCUCAGCUCAGCUCGGGGACCUCGUGCCCGGGCUUUCCUGGGGAGGAAGGUGUUGGAUCUCCUGCCUCUCUGUAUUCAUUCACACUUUGGGUUUCUCUCUCUUCCGCGCAUUCUAACAUCUGCAGGAUUUUUUUUUUUUUUUUUUUUUUUUUGAGACAGAGUCUCGCUCUGUUGCCCAGGCUGGAGUGGAGUGGUGCGAUCUCAGCUCGCUGCAAGCUCCGCCUCCUGGGUUCACGCCAUUCUCGUGCCUCAGCCUCCAGAGUAACUGGGACCACAGGCGCCCGCCACGACGCCCAGCUAAUUUUUUGUAUUUUUAGUAGAGACGGGGUUUCACCGUGUUAGCCAGGAUGGUCUCGAUCUCCUGACCUUGUGAUCCGCCCGCCUCGGCCUCCCAAAGUGCUGGGAUUACAGGCGUGAGCCACCGGGCCUGGCACAUCUGCAGGAUUUAUGGAUGAAGGGCCACAAACCCACAUUUGGUCUCAUUCAACAGAUGUUGUGUCGGCAGGGCGAGGUGGGACUCUGUCUCUGCCCACGCUACCUGCCCCUGGGGUUGUAGUUCUAGGAAAGCAAGUCUCAGACUGAGUUUUGAUCUGGAUUAAAUUCUGUCCCAGGUGCAGAUAUUUAUAGGAAAGCAGGGACAAGAGCCCUCAGGCAAAGCUGGGUAUCCUGCGAUGGGUGCCUCUGGGAGUUCGCAGAUAACAAGGCCUUUUCCUGGAGGCAAAGCAGAAGCGUUCUGUGGCAGACCAGUCAGCUUUCUAGCAGGUCAGGGGCAGGGACAUCUAGGCCCAAGGUGUCACACCGUGCCUGGCUGCUGGCUCUCCUCUUGCAAGGACACAGCUCUUACAGGACUUCCUAGCCCACCCAAGAACAUCUUUCCAUCAUCGAAAAGUUAUUGAUAAGAUUUUUCCAUCACUGAAAAGUUAUUGAUAAGUGCCACCAUGUGCAUGAGCAGCCCUCCAGGUGCUGGCUUGUGGGCCGGUGUUUGAGAAUCUUGCCAGUUGAAUGUGGGCAUCUGUUGAGGGUUUCCCAAAGGCUAACCGUUCGUGCCAGAGGGAGGCCGUGGCUCAUUCCUAGGGCCCUGGGUGAGACUGGGGCUCAUGCACACACAGGUAUCGAUGGCAUGGGCUGUAACGAGCUGAGUGCCUGCUGCCCUUUCCUAGUGGGGGGGGUGGGCUCCUGGAGAAAGAGGGGAGGCUGCUACUCUCCAGGGCCACAGGGAGCCCAGAACGCCACCUCCUGGUGUCAGCAGCAGCAAAUCCAUAUAAGUCUGCAGCAACUUAGCUUUUGCCUCCUCAGAGGAAAUAAUUCAUCCAGGGGGCACAAGGCAGGGUCAGAGACUGAGGUAAGUUUCAGAGCAAGAGUGAAAGUUUAUUAAAAAAGUGUUAGAGCAGGAACGAAAGGAAAUAAAGUACACUUGGAGGAGGGCCAGGUGGGCAUCUUGAGAGAGCAAGUACACGGUUUUGACCUUUGACUUGGGGUUUAUAUCUUGGCAUGCUUCUGGGGGCUGCGUCCCUUCUCCCCUGAUUCUUCCCUUGGGGUGGGCUGUCCGCAUGCGCAGUGGCCUGCCGACACUUGGGAGGGCCGCGUGCACAGUGUGCUUACUGGAGUUGUGCGGUGCCCUCUUGAGGCAGUCUUCCCUUACCAGUUCCUAGGGGAAGGUCACACGCUGGUUAAACUUUGCCACUUUGCCUCGUAGUGUGCAUGCUUGACCUCACUCACCAACUCCUGAGAUUUUUUUUAAAUUUUUUAAUUUAAGUUCUAGGGUACAUGUACACAACGUGCAGGUUUGUUACAUAGGUAUGCAUGUGCCAUGUUGGUUUGCUGCAUCCAUUAACUCGUCAUUUACAUUAGGUAUUUCUCCUAAUGCUAUCCUUCCCACCCCACGACAGGCCCUGGUGUGUGAUGUUGCCCGCACUGUGUCCAAGUGUUCUCAUUGUUCAAUUCCCACCUGUGCCAACUCCUGGGAUCUUAUCGGGAAGUGGCUCAUCAUCAGCUUUAGGUGUUUUCUAUCUAUUGGGAGCCUGCCUUUCUCUGGCACCAGCUGCAACCAAUAAUUAUUUUAGACAGUUUAACAACAGCUUGACCAUCACCUGAUGAUCACCUGACAUUUCUGUUGGGGCGCGGGCCCAUCUCCUGCCCCGCUCAUGUGGGGCUCAGUCUGCCCAACCUUUCCCCAAGGGCCUGUCUUUACUUCAUUUGUGGUAAGCCCCAAGCAGAAUGGACUCUUGUUAUGAUCCCAGGAACUGCUCACGGCCACCUCUGUGGAUGAACACCUAGCGGCUGCUCUAAAUACAUGCUGUGAAAGUUGUCAGAAUCAAAAUGGAGUCACUAAUGUUAAGAAAGCCCUGACAAAGAGUUGGUGGGGAAGGCCACGAAGAGAGGACACUUAUGCUUGCAUGCCUGAUACCAGAAAGGACUACAAAAACCACAGCCCGGCACAGAGGCCAUCACACCCUUACACAAAAAAUAUUUCUGCAAGGACAACUGCCCAGCAAUUGCCUGUCCAACCUCAGACUGGAAUGACCUUUGUUAUUGAUGUUUGUAGCCAAGGAGAAUUAUCUCAAAACCACUGUGAUCCUGCUCGCUUUUCCUUUAAAGACCUUUGUCUUCCUUGACCUCCCUGAAUAGGCAUAUGGUUUACUAUGGCGUGUGUACUCUCCUUGUAAUGUUCUGUUCUCAAGCUAACAUCUAUUCUUCUAGAGAACCUCUCUCUUAGGCUGACAACGCUGUGGAUCUGGGCUCCCAGGAACUGGGGCUGACAUCAGAGGGGUGGAAAGAGAACAGCAGCUCUCCCUGAGGGGAUGCUUGCCAAGGAUAAGGAGACGAUGGUUCUCUAAGGAUUAUUUUAUAUUCAUCUAAAAGGGUAUUUUUGUUGUUACCCCUAGCCUUUUUUCCCUUUUAAUUUUCUGAUGAAUAAUUUAUAUAAAGAAAACCCAUUCUAAGUGUGCAAUUCUAUGAGUUUUGACAAAUGUCU
Molecule: long non-coding RNA, 5531 nt
Filed under: Homo sapiens (human)
Lineage: Eukaryota; Metazoa; Chordata; Mammalia; Primates; Hominidae
Description: non-protein coding lnc-SLC6A18-2:2
Source: RNAcentral